GGACUACCGGGGUAUCUAAUCCCGUUUGCUCCCCUGGCCUUCGUGCCUCAGUGUCAGUAACUGUCCAGAGAUUCGCCUUCGCCACUGGUCUUCCUCACGAUAUCUACGCAUUUCACUGCUACACCGUGAAUUCCAAUCUCCUCUCCAGUACUCAAGCAAGGCAGUAUUGAAUGCAGUUUCGGGGUUAAGCCCCGAGAUUUCACAUCCAACUUGCCCCGCCACCUACGCACCCUUUACGCCCAAUGAAUCCGAACAACGCUUGAGACCUCUGUAUUACCGCGGCUGCUGGCAC
RNAcentral lists this ribosomal RNA (292 nucleotides) under uncultured Verrucomicrobiota bacterium. Its description in RNAcentral is "uncultured Verrucomicrobia bacterium partial 16S ribosomal RNA". The record is from RNAcentral. Lineage: Bacteria; Pseudomonadati; Verrucomicrobiota.